Molecule: ribosomal RNA, 480 nt
Filed under: uncultured bacterium
Lineage: Bacteria
Description: bacterial SSU rRNA
Rfam family: Bacterial small subunit ribosomal RNA
Source: RNAcentral
UGGUCGUGAGAGGAUGAUCAGCCACACUGGAACUGAGACACGGUCCAGACUCCUACGGGAGGCAGCAGUGGGAAGUAUUGCGCAAUGGCGAAAGCCUGACGCAGCCACGCCGCGUGAGCGAUGAAGGCCUUCGGGUCGUAAAGCUCUGUGGGGAGAGACGAAGAAGCCCGUGAAGAGCGGCCUUGACGGUAUCUCCUUAGCAAGCACCGGCUAACUCCGUGCCAGCAGCCGCGGUAAUACGGAGGGUGCAAACGUUGCUCGGAAUCAUUGGGCGUAAAGCGCACGUAGGCGGCGAAGCAAGUUGGGUGUGAAAGCCCUGGGCUCAACCCCAGGAAGUGCAUUCAAAACUGCUUCGCUUGAAUCUCGGAGGGGGUCAGAGAAUUCCCGGUGUAGAGGUGAAAUUCGUAGAUAUCGGGAGGAAUACCAGUGGCGAAGGCGCUGACCUGGACGAAGAUUGACGCUGAGGUGCGAAAGCGCGGG